UGGCAAGCGUAAAACUCUUGAGUUCAAUCCCCAGCACAAAAAGAGUUUUCGGUGGAAAAUCGAGGGACACCUCUUACAAUAAAUCCCACAGGUCCCUCUGAACUACCUAGUACUUAUUGGCUACUUGUAAGAAUAUAGUGUGGUUGUGGACAAUUAAUACAGGAGGAAGGUGCGAUGCUUGGCCUCUGCAGUCUUGGAAAAAAGAAUGGCAGGGGAAUAAAAAUACGAAAACAUCUAAAGAUUAAGCAAUGAGUGGGAAGAAUCAUCUCAAAAUCCUAGAUUUUGAGUAUCAUGGGAAUAAUCAGAGCAACUUUGGGGAAGUUAUACUCUUUGACUUAAGGGGAAGAUGCAGAAGGAGCCGUGUAGGAAGACAUUGGUGGCAUAAACUGGCUGUGUGUUGCCUUAUGGAGGGCUUUUGAAUUUGCUAUGUUCCCACUGGAUGGAGAUAGGCAGACAGCAGCGUCUUUUGCCCAGGAUAAGUCUGAGGCAUCAUGGGUCUCGAUAUUAAUCACACAGUCUCCAAAGAAGCAGCACCUGGGUCAUCAUGCACAAAAACAGAAUUUUACUAGCCACAUAGAAAGAUAUUAGAUCUGGCUUCAGAGUUAUAGGGCAGAGAAAGAUUAACACCUGAUCCUUCACUGGCCUUGGAAAUGCAUUUUCCUUUGUUCUGAUAAGUGACAUCAUAAGCUGCUGGAGGAUAACUGCAUUGUACAGCCUGGGUUGAAGUCCAGCUCUGCCACGCACUGGCUCUGCAAUAGGCAAGGUACUUAAUGCACCUGGGCCCACAUCUUCAUUUGUAAACGAUACCUACUUCUGAGGAGAAGAGGAGUAAAUAAGAAAACCUGUGAUGGUAUUUCCCCUAAAUAGCCCCUACCACACCUCGAACCCCCAUGCCCGUGAGACCCUGUCCCAAAUUCAUUAAGAGGUAGCUUCGAAUUUACCUGAAUGGUUGGUGACUUUUAAUUCGUUGAAUAUGGUGAAAGUGAUAGUUUGGCUUCCAUGCUAAGUCAUAAAAACCAUGAACUCUUUCUUGCCUUGGGACACUUGCCUGCAGAGCCCAGAACAUCUGCAUAAGAAGUCUUACUAACCAGAGGCCAUUGUUCUGUGUCGGAAACCAAACCUCUCGGUGCUCUGGUCAGCAGGCCCAGCUGGUGUUACAUCCAACAGCCAUCAUCAACCACCGGUCCGUGUGAAGCCUACAGCUCCAGACCCUGCGGUCAAGUUCCUACCAGACAUCAGACCUUUCCACCUAAAGGGCAGCCAUUAGAGAGCAGCAAGCCAUCCACGAUAUCCCUGCCCAAAUUCGUGAUCUGGACUCUAUGCGAAUAAUAAAGUGGUUGUUUUAAAAUGG
Molecule: long non-coding RNA, 1351 nt
Filed under: Rattus norvegicus (Norway rat)
Lineage: Eukaryota; Metazoa; Chordata; Mammalia; Rodentia; Muridae
Description: long non-coding RNA NONRATT001710
Source: RNAcentral